RNAcentral lists this unclassified non-coding RNA (372 nucleotides) under soil metagenome. RNAcentral's name for it is "partial contains 5.8S ribosomal RNA, internal transcribed spacer 2, and large subunit ribosomal RNA". The stretch from base 1 to 120 matches the Rfam family "5.8S ribosomal RNA", at positions 35 to 154 of the family's 154-position model. The record is from RNAcentral.
GAUGAAGAACGCAGCGAAGUGCGAUAAGUAAUGUGAAUUGCAGAAUUCCGUGAAUCAUCGAAUCUUUGAACGCAAAUUGCACUCUUUGGUAUUCCGAAGAGUAUGCCUGUUUGAGGGUCAGUCAAAUAAAAAUCGGGGUUGUUGCUGCUGCCUUUGGUGGUGACGCUUCGGAACUAGGUCGUCUUUGCCUUCGGUUAAGUGACCUAAAAUUUCGGAUGAUCUUUCGAACGUAUUUAAUUUUUUUAUGUACGUUUAUAUAUCGAAUAUUGGAUGCGGUCAUUUCCAUGAUUCGCGUCUAUAAUUAUUUUCAUCAAAUGACCUCAAAUCAGGUAAGAGUACCCGCUGAACUUAAGCAUAUCAAUAAGCGGAGGA